AAAGUAAAUUCUUUUGAAAAGAGUAGUAUGCAUGUUGUACUAAUGGCACAGUGUUAAAGGACAUAUAUAUUUCAUCUACAUCCAAGGGCUAUAAAAAACAGCCAGAUAAAUAAACAAAAGGAGAUGACAAAGCACCAUGGAACAGGCAUCAUCACAGGCCUGGGCAAAACAGUGUCCAGAGCAAGAGGACUUCUGCCUCCCAAGGCUGUCGAAAGGAAACGGCCUUUCUCUGAGAAAUCAUUCAGUAUUGUUCCUGGAAGCUUGAUCUGUUUCUCCAACUGUCCCAAUGAUCCUGUGUAAGGGACCAGAGAGUUCAUCAUUUGAUCUAAGACACAUUUGGGAGUAAAAGAAGAUGCUGUUAAUAAUGUCAAGAAUAGACCAGAACUGGACUGAACAGAUGCGACACAUAGUAACUCUAACACUGUGAUUUACUUAAUACAUUUUGCUGCUUAAAUUAGUCAGAAUAAGACUUGCUUGUUUUUUCCUAUGAAUCCUAACAAAAUACCAUUGGAUUUUUAGGAUUAUAAAAUUAGUUAACAACGUAAGUGGACCCUGUGUCCUAUAUUGUGCCUAUAGUACAGGGAAGAAUAUCCUGUUCUACAUAUUUAUAAAGCAAAUUCAGAUUAAUUCAAAUCCAUAGAAUCUAUUAUAUCAAUAUUAGUUGACUUAACGUAGCCAUAUGCUUGUUGCCUAAAGAACCAUGACUUCCACUGAUGUGUUGUUAAUGAAGCCUAGGGAAUGGAAACAAAAUAUUUUGUCACGAGGUUUUUAUAAAUAGUGGUUCACUGACAUAGGUGAGUCGAGGUUGUUAAAUACAAUAUUACUACGACAGAAUAUAAACUUAAAGAAAUCUUGAAGUUAGUGUCCUUGUUAAAGUUGUCAUUAUCUAAUUUCUCUGUAAGUCAUUACUUUAUGCUAUGAAUGAUAGCUAUAUGCAUAUUGUUCUAUGUUAUAAAUAUACAUAUUUGUACUAUAAUACUACUAAUUUCAGAAAUCCAAGAAGAAAUAAAUAUGGGUCUCAUUCAUCAUUCCAGUGUCUUCAUUCAAACAACGUUACCGAACACUUACUGGCACUUUACUCACUCGUUCAGCAAUUCAUAUAGGCACU
RNAcentral lists this long non-coding RNA (1108 nucleotides) under Equus caballus (horse). Its description in RNAcentral is "lncRNA (ENSECAG00000054551.1)". Lineage: Eukaryota; Metazoa; Chordata; Mammalia; Perissodactyla; Equidae. The record is from RNAcentral.